CCUACGGGUGGCACCAGUGGGGAAUAUUGCACAAUGGGCGCAAGCCUGAUGCAGCCAUGCCGCGUGUGUGAAGAAGGCCUUCGGGUUGUAAAGUACUUUCAGCGGGGAGGAAGGUGUUGUGGUUAAUAACCGCAGCAAUUGACGUUACCCGCAGAAGAAGCACCGGCUAACUCCGUGCCAGCAGCCGCGGUAAUACGGAGGGUGCAAGCGUUAAUCGGAAUUACUGGGCGUAAAGCGCACGCAGGCGGUCUGUCAAGUCGGAUGUGAAAUCCCCGGGCUCAACCUGGGAACUGCACUCGAAACUGGCAGGCUAGAGUCUUGUAGAGGGGGGUAGAAUUCCAGGUGUAGCGGUGAAAUGGGUAGAGAUCUGGAGGAAUACCGGUGGCGAAGGCGGCCCCCUGGACAAAGGCUGACGCUCAGGUGCGAAAGCGUGGGGAGCAAACAGGAUUAGAUACCCUUGUAGUC
Molecule: ribosomal RNA, 465 nt
Filed under: uncultured bacterium
Lineage: Bacteria
Description: bacterial SSU rRNA
Rfam family: Bacterial small subunit ribosomal RNA
Source: RNAcentral